This 171-nucleotide small nuclear RNA is filed under the name Zalophus californianus (California sea lion). Its description in RNAcentral is "U2 spliceosomal RNA (ENSZCAG00015022739.1)". It matches the Rfam family "U2 spliceosomal RNA". From Rfam's summary of the family: U2 is a small nuclear RNA (snRNA) component of the spliceosome (involved in pre-mRNA splicing). The record is from RNAcentral. Lineage: Eukaryota; Metazoa; Chordata; Mammalia; Carnivora; Otariidae.
GUCGCAUGUUGGCCUUUUGGCUAAGGUCAAAUGUAGCAUCUGUUCUUAUUAGUUUAAAUCUGAUUUUUUUCUAUCGCUUUAUGGGGUGUGAUGAUGCAUGCAUUAAAGGAAAGAUGGCGCUAAGAAGAUACUUAAAAUUGCAUUUUGAGUUUUUAAAAAAAGAUAACGUCU